UAGGGAAUCUUCCGCAAUGGACGCAAGUCUGACGGAGCAACGCCGCGUGAGUGAAGAAGGAUUUCGGUUCGUAAAACUCUGUUGUUAGAGAAGAACAGCGCAUAGAGUAACUGUUAUGCGUGUGACGGUAUCUAACCAGAAAGCCACGGCUAACUACGUGCCAGCAGCCGCGGUAAUACGUAGGUGGCAAGCGUUGUCCGGAUUUAUUGGGCGUAAAGCGAGCGCAGGCGGUCAAUUAAGUCUGAUGUGAAAGCCCCCGGCUCAACCGGGGAGGGUCAUUGGAAACUGGUUGACUUGAGUGCAGAAGAGGAGAGUGGAAUUCCAUGUGUAGCGGUGAAAUGCGUAGAUAUAUGGAGGAACACCAGUGGCGAAGUCGACUCUCUGGUCUGUAACUGACGCUGAGGCUCGAAAGCGUGGGUAGCAAACAGG
Molecule: ribosomal RNA, 429 nt
Filed under: Bacteroidota bacterium
Lineage: Bacteria; Pseudomonadati; Bacteroidota
Description: Bacteroidetes bacterium partial 16S ribosomal RNA
Rfam family: Bacterial small subunit ribosomal RNA
Source: RNAcentral